This 117-nucleotide ribosomal RNA is filed under the name Sinocyclocheilus anshuiensis. Lineage: Eukaryota; Metazoa; Chordata; Actinopteri; Cypriniformes; Cyprinidae. The record is from RNAcentral.
GACCACAGCCUUAUCACCCUGCAGCCCAAGACUGGUUGCUCACUGAAGCUAGGCAGGGUUGAGCCUGGUCAGUACCUGGAUGGGAGACCUCCUGGGAAAACUAGGUUGCUGUUGGAA